RNAcentral lists this ribosomal RNA (645 nucleotides) under Triticum aestivum (bread wheat). RNAcentral's name for it is "partial small subunit ribosomal RNA". The record is from RNAcentral. Lineage: Eukaryota; Viridiplantae; Streptophyta; Magnoliopsida; Poales; Poaceae.
AUGGACUCCGGCGGCGACUCGUCCGGCGGGGGCGCGGCGGCGGCGGCGGCCAAGUGGCGGACGGACGCGACGCGGGCCUUCCAGUACUACCUGGACCGCUCCACGCCGCACGCCACGGGCCGCUGGCUCGGCACGCUCGUCGUCGCCGCCGUCUACGCGCUCCGGGUCUUGUCCAUCCACGGCUUCUACAUCGUCAGCUACGGCCUCGGGAUCUACCUCCUCAACCUCCUCAUCGGCUUCCUCUCCCCCAUGGUCGACCCGGAGCUCGACCCCUCCGCCGCCGCACACGACGGGCCCGCCCUCCCCACCCGCGGAUCCGACGAGUUCAAGCCAUUCAUCAGGAGGCUCCCAGAGUUCAAGUUCUGCAGCAGCAUUCGGCUAAUCACACCAGGCAGGAUAUAUCGAGUGCAAAUGUACGCAAUCACAAAGGCUUUUGUUAUAGCUUUUGUGAUGACAUUCUUCUCCGUGUUCGACGUACCUGUGUUCUGGCCUAUACUGCUCUGCUACUGGAUUGUACUCUUUGUGCUGACGAUGAAGCGCCAGAUUCUGCACAUGGUCAAGUACAAAUAUGUGCCCUUCAACAUCGGGAAGCAGAAAUACGGCAGGAAGAAGGGUGGCGCGAGCAGCAGCUCGUCAAAAGACUGA